Molecule: ribosomal RNA, 869 nt
Filed under: Botrytis cinerea
Lineage: Eukaryota; Fungi; Ascomycota; Leotiomycetes; Helotiales; Sclerotiniaceae
Description: partial large subunit ribosomal RNA
Rfam family: Eukaryotic large subunit ribosomal RNA
Source: RNAcentral
CAGGGAUUACCUCAGUAACGGCGAGUGAAGCGGUAAAAGCUCAAAUUUGAAAUCUGGCUCUUUUAGAGUCCGAAUUGUAAUUUGUAGAAGAUGCUUCGGGUGUGGUUCCGGUCUAAGUUCCUUGGAACAGGACGUCAUAGAGGGUGAGAAUCCCGUAUGUGACUGGAUACCUAUGCUCAUGUGAAGCUCUUUCGACGAGUCGAGUUGUUUGGGAAUGCAGCUCAAAAUGGGAGGUAUAUUUCUUCUAAAGCUAAAUAUUGGCCAGAGACCGAUAGCGCACAAGUAGAGUGAUCGAAAGAUGAAAAGCACUUUGGAAAGAGAGUUAAACAGUACGUGAAAUUGUUGAAAGGGAAGCGCUUGCAAUCAGACUUGCACUUGGUGUUCAUCAGGGUCUCGUACCCUGUGUACUUCAUCAAGUUCAGGCCAGCAUCAGUUUGAGUGGUUAGAUAAAGGCUUAGAGAAUGUGGCCCUCUUCGGGGGGUGUUAUAGCUCUAGGUGCAAUGUAGCCUACUUGGACUGAGGACCGCGCUUCGGCUAGGAUGCUGGCGUAAUGGUUGUAAGCGACCCGUCUUGAAACACGGACCAAGGAGUGUACCUAAUAUGCGAGUGUUUGGGUGUUAAACCCAUACGCGUAAUGAAAGUGAACGCUGGUGAGAACCCUUAAGGGUGCAUCAUCGACCGAUCUUGAUGUCUUCGGAUGGAUUUGAGUAAGAGCAUAUUGGGUGCGACCCGAAAGAUGGUGAUCUAUACGUGAAUAGGGUGAAGCCAGAGGAAACUCUGGUGGAGGCUCGCAGCGGUUCUGACGUGCAAAUCGAUCGUCAAAUUUGCGUAUAGGGGCGAAAGACUAAUCGAACCAUCUAGUAGCUGGU